This is a long non-coding RNA of Ornithodoros turicata, 499 nucleotides long. RefSeq lists it as uncharacterized. The transcript has 3 exons. NCBI's taxonomy places the organism in Eukaryota, Metazoa, Arthropoda, Arachnida, Ixodida, Argasidae. The record is from RefSeq and is a predicted model, not a curated record.
ACGUGAUCUCCAGGAGCCGCUCACAGCUACUUGGCCUUCGGGAGAGGAAAAUCAGUUGCGCUGCGCAUGCGCUAGAAGUGAUGUCACGUGUCUCUCUUUGCCGCCGCCGUGCCGUCUGCUCGCUUCGCGUGCGCAUGCGCUAGCACACAGCGGUUUGUUUGCUUGAGGAUGAGAUUUGUGGUUUGUGGUAGCGGUGAAGCAACUUUGCCAAAUAUUCCGUUCAAGUUCCUCGCUGGAUGUCCCGCUCGUCCGUCGAUGUUCAACAGAUGCAACAAGUGCCAGUCCACUUUUUCUCAGCUGCACCCUCUCAGUUCAGGCAGCAGCAGUACCAGGUGUAUGUACAUAACUUCCAAGACACACGAGUGCAAUUCUGAAGCUGAUUUUCAGGCAUGGAGAGAAGAAAUGCAGGAUGCAGCCAAGAGUCAUUUUACUAAAGGCACAGGGGUAAAACGAUUGAAAGAUGGAGGUUUAAAGUGUUAUUAUAUUUGUAACUGAUUGG